Molecule: ribosomal RNA, 279 nt
Filed under: uncultured bacterium
Lineage: Bacteria
Description: partial 16S ribosomal RNA
Rfam family: Bacterial small subunit ribosomal RNA
Source: RNAcentral
UGCCAGCCGCCGCGGUAAUACGGAGGGUGCGAGCGUUAAUCGGAAUUACUGGGCGUAAAGCGCGCGUAGGCGGCUUUGUAAGUCGGAUGUGAAAGCCCCGGGCUUAACCUGGGAAUUGCAUUCGAUACUGCAAGGCUAGAGUAUGGUAGAGGGAAGUGGAAUUCCGGGUGUAGCGGUGAAAUGCGUAGAUAUCCGGAGGAACACCAGUGGCGAAGGCGACUUCCUGGGCCAAUACUGACGCUCAGGCACGAAAGCAUGGGGAGCGAAAGGGAUUAGAUA